ACUCUAAUGAGACUGCCGGUGACAAACCGGAGGAAGGUGGGGAGUGACGUCAAGUCCUCCAUGGCCCUUAUGGGUAGGGCUUCACACGUCAUACAAUGGUCGGGACAGAGGGUCGCCAACCCGCGAGGGGGAGCCAAUCCCAGAAACCCGAUCGUAGUCCGGAUUGCAGGCUGCAACUCGCCUGCAUGAAGUCGGAAUCGCUAGUAAUCGCGGAUCAGCAUGUCGCGGUGAAUACGUUCCCGGGUCUU
RNAcentral lists this ribosomal RNA (248 nucleotides) under uncultured Pusillimonas sp. Its description in RNAcentral is "partial 16S ribosomal RNA". It matches the Rfam family "Bacterial small subunit ribosomal RNA", at positions 1137 to 1382 of the family's 1533-position model. Lineage: Bacteria; Pseudomonadati; Pseudomonadota; Betaproteobacteria; Burkholderiales; Alcaligenaceae. The record is from RNAcentral.